UAGCAUAAUCAUUAGUUCUUUAAUUGAGAACUGGCAUGAAAGGUCGGACAAGAGAAAAUCUGUCUCCAUUGUUAAAAUUAAAAUUGACUUUUAAGUGAAAAGGCUUAAAUACUUCAGGGGGACGAUAAGACCCUAUAAAACUUUAUAUAUGCAACAAUACAGUUGAAUUAAAGCAUAAAAACUUAUUCGAUAAAAUAUAUUUAGUCGGGGCGACUGAGGUAUAAUUUAUAGUAACUGAUUAAAAGCAAGACAAAUAAUAUUUGAUUAACUUUAAUUGAUCCUUUUUAAAGAUUAAAAGAUUAAGUUACUUUAGGGAUAACAGCGUAAUUUUUUCUAAGAGUCCAUAUCGAAGAAAAAGAUUGCGACCUC
This 369-nucleotide ribosomal RNA is filed under the name Carcinus maenas (green crab). RNAcentral describes it as "partial 16S ribosomal RNA". It matches the Rfam family "Bacterial large subunit ribosomal RNA", at positions 1957 to 2527 of the family's 2925-position model. The record is from RNAcentral. Lineage: Eukaryota; Metazoa; Arthropoda; Malacostraca; Decapoda; Carcinidae.